ACAGAGUUUACAACUCCCAAACCCAAAUGUGAACAUACCUAUUGUUGCUUCGGCGUGCUCGCCCCGGCGUCCGGCUGGCCUUGUGCUGGUCGCGGCCCGGACCCAGGUGGCCGCCGGAGAAAACCAAAACUCUUUGUAUUAUCAGCCUUCUGAAUCCGCCGCAAGGCAAAACAAAUGAAUCAAAACUUUCAACAACGGAUCUCUUGGUUCUGGCAUCGAUGAAGAACGCAGCGAAAUGCGAUAAGUAAUGUGAAUUGCAGAAUUCAGUGAAUCUCGAAUCUUUGAACGCACAUUGCGCCCGGGAGCUCUCCCGGGCAUGCCUGUUCGAGCGUCAUUUCAACCCUCGAUUUCCCUUUGGGGAAGUCGGCCGUUGGAGAUCGGCAGCACUGCCGGCUCCCAAAUUCAGUGGCGACCCGCCGCGGGGACCCCUGCGUAGUAACUAACACUCGCACCGGAAACCAGACGUGUCACGCCGUAAAACCCCAACUUUCUGAAC
This 496-nucleotide unclassified non-coding RNA is filed under the name Lecanicillium sp. EM-16. RNAcentral describes it as "partial contains ITS1, 5.8S rRNA and ITS2". The stretch from base 184 to 334 matches the Rfam family "5.8S ribosomal RNA". Lineage: Eukaryota; Fungi; Ascomycota; Sordariomycetes; Hypocreales; Cordycipitaceae. The record is from RNAcentral.